This 252-nucleotide non-coding RNA is filed under the name uncultured bacterium. RNAcentral's name for it is "partial 16S ribosomal RNA". It matches the Rfam family "Bacterial small subunit ribosomal RNA", at positions 524 to 776 of the family's 1533-position model. The record is from RNAcentral. RNAcentral also lists the same sequence under 1 other name.
UACGGAGGAUGCGAGCGUUAUCCGGAUUUAUUGGGUUUAAAGGGUGCGUAGGCGGGACGUUAAGUCAGCGGUAAAAAUGCGGAGCUCAACUCCGUCGAGCCGUUGAAACUGCCGUUCUUGAGUGAGCGAGAAGUAUGCGGAAUGCGUGGUGUAGCGGUGAAAUGCAUAGAUAUCACGCAGAACUCCGAUUGCGAAGGCAGCAUACCGGCGCUCAACUGACGCUGAAGCACGAAGGCGUGGGUAUCGAACAGG